RNAcentral lists this ribosomal RNA (429 nucleotides) under Chloroflexota bacterium. RNAcentral's name for it is "Chloroflexi bacterium partial 16S ribosomal RNA". It matches the Rfam family "Bacterial small subunit ribosomal RNA", at positions 355 to 776 of the family's 1533-position model. The record is from RNAcentral. Lineage: Bacteria; Bacillati; Chloroflexota.
UGGGGAAUAUUGCACAAUGGGCGCAAGCCUGAUGCAGCCAUGCCGCGUGUGUGAAGAAGGCAUUCGGGUUGUAAAGCACUUUCAGCGGGGAGGAAGGCGAUAAGGUUAAUAACCUUGUCGACUGACGUUACCCGCAGAAGAAGCACCGGCUAACUCCGUGCCAGCAGCCGCGGUAAUACGGAGGGUGCAAGCGUUAAUCGGAAUUACUGGGCGUAAAGCGCACGCAGGCGGUCUGUCAAGUCGGAUGUGAAAUCCCCGGGCUUAACCUGGGAACUGCAUUCGAAACUGGCAGGCUAGAGUCUUGUAGAGGGGGGUAGAAUUCCAGGUGUAGCGGUGAAAUGCGUAGAGAUCUGGAGGAAUACCGGUGGCGAAGGCGGCCCCCUGGACAAAGACUGACGCUCAGGUGCGAAAGCGUGGGGAGCAAACAGG